This 146-nucleotide ribosomal RNA is filed under the name Grovesinia pyramidalis. RNAcentral's name for it is "ITS2 ribosomal RNA". Lineage: Eukaryota; Fungi; Ascomycota; Leotiomycetes; Helotiales; Sclerotiniaceae. The record is from RNAcentral.
CAACCCUCAAGCUCAGCUUGGUAUUGAGUCUAUGUCAGCAAUGGCAGGCUCUAAAAUCAGUGGCGGCGCCGCUGGGUCCUGAACGUAGUAAUAUCUCUCGUUACAGGUUCUCGGUGUGCUUCUGCCAAAACCCGAWUUUUCUAUGG